This 253-nucleotide ribosomal RNA is filed under the name uncultured bacterium. RNAcentral's name for it is "partial 16S ribosomal RNA". It matches the Rfam family "Bacterial small subunit ribosomal RNA", at positions 524 to 776 of the family's 1533-position model. The record is from RNAcentral.
CACGUAGGGUGCAAGCGUUGUCCGGAAUUAUUGGGCGUAAAGGGCUCGUAGGCGGUCCGUCGCGUCGGGAGUGAAAACUCGGGGCUCAACCCCGAGCCUGCUUUCGAUACGGGCGGACUAGAGGUAGGUAGGGGAGAACGGAAUUCCUGGUGUAGCGGUGGAAUGCGCAGAUAUCAGGAGGAACACCGGUGGCGAAGGCGGCAUCCUGGACCGACACUGACGCUGAGGAGCGAAAGCCAGGGGAGCAAAUGGG